AUCACUGAAGACCUGACACUGGCGGAAUCGGACGUCCACUGUCCUCAGCAGAAUUAAUCAGGUGUUAUCUUAUGCAAAUUGUAUCGCCAUCAGAUGAAGCCGAUGAUCCUGUCGAUGACAAUGACCCUGCUUCGCCGGAGGAACACACUUUUUUCCGUCUCCAAACGACCGGGGAGGCGCAGGGGCGAGACAAUAACACCCAGAAGUUAUUGAAAUGAAUCGUCAUGAAAGGAGCUGGCACAAGAAUAAAAAACAGAACGAGCACUAGCAGCAGUCUUCACUGCAGAGCGAAGGAAAGGAAGCCGAAUGCAACGAGGAAAAGACGAGCGUGAUGAAAGAGGUCCAGACAUGAAGGAGGCACGCACACACACAUGCAAUGGCACCUAGAGUCUGUCUGCGGUCUGCCAUCACCCUGCCACACACACACACACACACACACCGCCUGUUACGGUAAGAAUCAGAGACCACCGAGUUAGGGGGAGAAUAACAGUGAGAAAACAAGCUCAUUAUCUUGUGCUGUUUUCUUCUGAGUAAUGUAAAGACAAAUUGACUACUUGUAUUCCACAAUUUCCUAAAUUCAGUAUUUUGUUCAGUAAUUUAACAUCACAUUACACUCUGAAAAGUAGUUUCUUGGUGCUAUUAAAUUGCUAUGAAAAGAAAACGAAAUUGGGAUGUCUCAUUUUGGAAAAAAUCUUAGUGCCAUUUUAUGUAGUACUGGUAUGUGUUUGCUCUCAUGCAUGCAAUUUGUAGUGUCUGUGUGUGUGUGCAUGUAGAAAGUCUGCUUCUUUUUUCUUUCUAUUUCCAUCAGUCAAGACCAAUCCCCACACGUCAGCCACACUACAUAUUCCACAAAAAAAAAACUUAUAUCCAACCCCUUACCCACCCCGUGCACCUCCCAGGCUUCGCAGCAUCCUGCUUUGCCCUCCAUCCAAAUAAAAAAAACGUGCGUGCUGAAAUUACAGUGUGUGAGGCGGCAUUGUGGGAAACUCUCCCCUCCGCCUCACUCCCUGUGUUUGCCCUUCUUGUCCCUCCUUAUCUAUUUCUCAUCCGCUACUGUUUUGGAUGGGUUGCGGCAGGUUUUAUUUUGAUGUUCAUUAAACUGUCAAACAGCUGCCCAUGUUAAUUUGCAUCUACAGUUACAGUGACUAAAGUUCAGACUGAGCUUAACAAGUUAUUAAUGCAGUUCUAAAUAAGAUUGGCCUCUUUGUAUUGAUUUUGUUUUUCUUUGUUAUUAUUUAGGAUGAUAGUUUGCACUUGAUGACCACUGAAUCUCUGUUUAUGUGUGUGUCUUAUCAACUGUUUUGAAAACAAUAGCUCACAAGUAAAAAAAACAAAUAUAAUUAAUUUGCAUUGACCUGUCCCAAAAAACCCCACAUAAAUAUUGGUCUAAAUUUUCUAUAACAAUACAUAUUGCUUAUGAGUUUAGCUUCUAUUACUAAUGCAUAUAACUCAGUAGUAUUUAAUUUUUAUGCACACUUCAGGUUUAAACUCCUGAUGUCUGGCAGGUCGUUCCCAGGGAAAACGUCUCCAAAGUUGCCAGAAAAGACUAUAAAUCUGCCCACCUACAAAGGCUUGAACAGAAAAGUCAGUGAAAAACAUUUUUGGGAGAAUAUCUUUGAAAAGUACAGUGCAAAAAUAUGACGGCAUGGCAGUGGUAGACAUGAGCAAAAUAAAUAAAUACAUAAAUAAGAGGGGAAAUUCUAGGAUUGUUGCUACUUAAAUCAGAAAGCAGCCCCAUCCUCUUGUUUUCUAGCUUCAGGUUAACUGAUGGCACCUCCCUCACAGCAACCGUAUUACUAACGAGAUGUAAUGACACAUUCAUCUCUCCUUUUCCAGUUUGGGGCUAGCUUGGUUAACUGUCGGCCGAGGUGCGGCAUGAGAGUGUGUGUGCUGGCUAUUAAAGCGCUUGAGAAUCAGAGAGGAAAGGACUUGCACUGCUAAUGGAUGUGUCUAUUGAUGUUCCCAUUUAGCGGCCCACUGUAAACGAUAGGGCAAUGAUUGUGUUGGAAGACGGAAGGAGGUGGAGGAGGAGUGGAGAGUGGUUUGGCUAGGCGAUGAUAAUGACAAGGAAGGUUAUUAUUUGGCACCCUGCAGAGUCUCUCACUGCUUUGUGUGUGUGAAAGAGAGAGAGAAGGAGGCACUCCAUCUCUCUUGCUCCUGUCGCUCGCCCUGCCUAUUGGCUAUUAUUCUCUUCUCGCUUUUUCUCCCCAGUCCUCUCCUCUCUCAUGACAUUACUCACUGGUGCUAGUCUACAGCCAGUUGUCUGUUUUUCUCUCACAUCCACCUCUAUUUCUCUUUUCUCAAUGGCCUUCCCUUUUUUUAAAUGUAGAUAUAUUUAGCUAUGGUAGAUAAAAUAGCAGAAAAAGAAGUCAGAAUAACAGAAUAAUGCCGCAGAGGAGGUAAAAUAGUUUCUCGUUUUUUAGGAUAGCAGGUUGCCCUUCAAAUAUUGAUUUAUUCACCAGUAGAUAUUUUUCCCCAGCUGUGUGUGUGUGUGUGUGUGUGUGUGUGUGUGUGUCCUGUCAGGUCCAGUCAGUGUGUAUGUGAUGAAUAUAAAUACAGUCAGCCUGCCUGCAGGUUUGGCAGGAGACCACCUCCAGCUGGACUCAGACCCCUACUCAAGUGUGUCUGUGUGCGUUUUGUGAGCGUGGUUGUACACGUCAGCCUGCAUCUGUCAGCGCCGUUCCAACCUGAGGAUGAAAUAACGAAUAAUAUACUACCUAAUAUACACCGCUUGACACGCGAUGCUUUCAAAGCCUCUCAACACAUAGGAAAGCAUACAGUUCCGGCAUCAGUGGGAAUUACACCACUUGUUCUCUGUACAGAUUGAAAUGUAUUGACAUUGGAUGGAAAAGCAUGUUUGAAAAUGGUAGUUUAGUAAAUGCUUGCAAAUGUUGAGAGGUUUUUUGUCCAUGUUUCAGUGCACGCACAAUCCUGCCUUCCUCACUUCCUUUCCCCCAGUUACUGUAAUCAGCCCCAUUCUUUCCACUCCAGCUUGUCAGUCCAUUUGUGUGUGUGUGUGUGUGUGUGUUUUAUUGUUGACUGCAUAUUGUUUGCUAGAAGAUUAAUAGUGUUUAUAUUUGUAAAUAUCUUGUCAUUGUAGUAUAAGUCCAUCUAUCAUUUUCUCUGUGUGUGUGUGUGUGUGUCUGUAAUCGCAGGGCAACAGAUAAAGAGGGCGAUGGCAUUCCAGCUGUGAGGAGACUGAAGAAGUCAAUAUAGACACACACACACACACACACACACACACACACACACACACACACACACACACACAGAGAGAGAGCCAGAGGCGCGUGAGCAGGUGAGCAUUAAGUCAGGCAGCUAAACAGAUCACGUCGCGGUAUGAUAUCUGCAGACAGGCAGACAGAGGAGGCCGGUCUGUACCUGCAGGCAGAGAGCAACAACUCGCAGCACCCUCGCCAGGAAUCCCCCCCCCCCCCCUCCAGAGAGAGAGAGAGAGAGAGAGAGAGAGGGGGGAGGGGGAGAGAGAAAUUCACAGUCAUGACAGUGAAUAAGAGACAUACAUGAACUGGGCUUUCCACUUAAGUGUUUUUAUGCAAAUCAAGUAGUAAAGCCUGAUUAGAAACUAGCUGGCAAAAGUUGUGUUUUUUUUGUCGGAUUUUUUUCAAAUACGUUCACUGUAAUAUUUUAACUUUGAAAUGAAACACAGAAUUUUCUGUUGAUUAAAAAAAAGAACCCAAAUAGACAAAAUAAUGAGAGGCCUAUAUUUCAGUAUUCAGAGUGUGUGGACAUUCAGGAUUUCUGUCAGAUAAAAUUUUUGUCAAUUGCAACUACCCAGAAAUCUUAUACAUUUAGUUUCUUCCAUACAAAGUGCUUGAAAAACAAAAAUAGCUGCUAAUAAGGAAUGCUAACAUCAUUAUUCAGUUCAUCAAUGUCUCCAUAAUUAGUUUUGUGUAGCAGGUUAAGUAAUUGUAGUUUUCGUUUGUAUUGAGUUUUAGAUUUGCCUUAUCCAGCUCCAUUUGCUAAACCUAACCCUUUAUCUCUGGAAAUGGUUUUCUCUUUAGCUUGUAUUUUUCAUAUUCAACCUGUCUUAUGAUUUAAAAAAAAGACUUUGUCUCAUAGAUAUAUUUUGUUUUAUAUUUCAUGCAUGUUUUUUAUAAAGCAAAAGUUUGCUUGUGAAUGCCUAAAAUGAUCUUCAUGGAGGGACAAUAACAACAGCAAGAUGGAAGAGUGGAGGAAAAAUACUCCCAGGUGGACAAAAAGUAGCACAAAAACUGUCCCCUCCUUUGGCCCGUCAUUCUCCCCUUAACCUCUACUGAUGAAAGGAUAUCCAUUGACAUAAAAAAAAGAACAGCACAUUCACACGCUACUGUAUUGCCGAGUACAGAUGGUUCUUUUGUUAUAUUGGAGUAAUUCGAUCACCUCCUGUAUGAUUUGUCUUUCUGGAAUCAGGGUGUUUUGACAGGGUCUACAGUACUAAUUGUGAAACUUUGACAGUAUCUGUUACACAAACUUGUUCUGCUAGUUUGGUUUUGUUAGCGCUCCUUAGAGCAAGUUUUUUAUAGCUUCCUUUCAUUCACAAUCUGCUCAGCAUAUGUGGCCUUUAUCUGUGGUGUCCUGUAUCACAUUCAUAGUAAUUCCCCUUUUGGUAGAUGUCCAUUACAGUUGUGGUUUUCCACUAGGAAGCGUCACUGAACAAACUGUAGGUUACGUUGUUGCUCAAGACAACCUCAACAGUAGUUACUGAAUGAGGAGAGCGUCACAUCUCCCGCGUCUGAGUUUUGGUCCAGCAAUUUGCUGCAAGUCACAAACGUGGUUCUCUUCCAUCUGCCCUUGUCAAUGAAUUGAAGUUGUUUCACUCAUUAGGUUCUGUAAUUAUUCCUUAGUGGAUUUUUUUUCUUGUGUUUUUCAAAGCUCUUUAUAUUUAGCCAGAAAAACAUCCCCAAAAAAGUCACAACUGUCUACACACAAACUACCACAUCCACUUAUCUAAAAAUGAUUCAGUGGUUAAAUGUCAGAGCUGUCCAUGCCAUUAAGGCCAGCAUGUUUG
Long non-coding RNA from Micropterus salmoides (largemouth bass), 5008 nucleotides. RefSeq lists it as uncharacterized. Lineage: Eukaryota; Metazoa; Chordata; Actinopteri; Centrarchiformes; Centrarchidae. The record is from RefSeq and is a predicted model, not a curated record. The transcript has 3 exons.